UUUUGGUUCGUUUCUGCCUACUCUUUGCACAGUCCACCAUGGUUUUUUCCUUAAAGUCUCUGUUCUCGUUCGCGUAGACUGGCUCUCUGCGAGACCGGUUUUUAAGGCACCCAGAAGAAAGGAAUCGUUCAGGGAAUUGUUGAGAUAGAAUGUAGACGAUGUCAAUGGGUUUAACCAUUUGGAAUCGGUUCUGGAUUCCCAUCCCUAGAUGUUAUGAUGUGUUGUUUUGAUGAAUUUUUCAAUCAUGAAAAGCUUUAAAGCUGCCAUGGGGAACUUUUGGUGUGUGUCCGUUUGGUUUAUCUUGCCCUUGACACACUUGAGACUCAAAAAAUCUCAUUGUGCUAACUUGUUCUGUCAAAUAAAAACAUGUCUGCUUUUUUCCAUUUCUUGACACCUCCUCCCUUACACUAUAUUCAGGCACUAAAAAAUUAUACUAUUAACAUAAUCAAUCAUGUUACUGAUGGUCUGGUUUGCUUUGAGAUGUCAUAAAAAUGCAUCAAUUUGAAUUUCAGUCUCUUACAUAAGUGUCAAAAAACUCCUUAUAGGAGCUUUAAAUGGUUCAUCAAGCAUAUGUUACUCUGACGACUCUAUUUCUGUGUAUUUGUUCCCGCGCUAGGCAGUUGACCAUCUUUCACGCUGACCAACUGCAGCUUUACACAGCGAGGUCUAACAGCCAAGAGUAUAUUACACCCUCACACGAAAGCCUCCCCAGGAGAGAUGUGAGUGCACCUCAGAGCGGGAGCAGGUGCACUUCAUCCUGUCCUAUAAGAGCACCGGCGCAUUUAUUGCAUACUGUCACAUAUCAUUGGCUGCAGUAGGUGCGAGUCGAUUUCCUGUGUCAUACUCUGCAGUGAAGCUGCUGUUAAACUGUUAUGUCUUUAACUAACCUGCUCCAUCUUUUGGUGCUCAGUAUUUCCACUCCACGGUGGAUUAAAUUUUGUUUAAACUCAUUCAAGUCCUCCAAAUGCAUAAAAUAGAUUACAGACGACUAUAAUUUCCCAUAUGUAUUGUUAUCCCAGCUUUUGGACCGUGUUUUUGUGACUCCAUUAUUUUACUCUAAUGCAAUUCUAAAAAGCAAACACUACAUUUCCUCUUUAAGGCGGCACUUGGGGGAAUUUAAAUUCCGAAUUAGCAUUAAAAUUAAACACUUAAAACUUUGACUUUAUUUCUGUACAUAAUUUUGCUACACGAGAGCUGUGACUUGGAAUAAAAAUUUAAACACAAAACACAACCCUCAGCUGGGAUUCCUAAAAUUAUACAUUACAGUUAUUUUCUUACAUCUGCUAUUUGCAACCCAGCCUUUGUAUUUGAGCACUGAGUAGAAACAUUAGUAUCAACAAGGCCUGUUAAGUAUUAAUAUGCUCAUAGCAAGUUAUUUUAAUUUUUUUAUUUUUUAUCACCCAUGCGCCAUAUGCUGCAUGCAGGCAUGCCCAGACACAUCCUCCAUCUGUUUAAAGAUAUUUGAGUUUAAAUUAGGCCCAGUGAAGAAUAGGGAAAACAAUCCAAUGCACAUGGCCUUCCUCUAAUGGAUAUUGAUUGCAGGCCAUUUAACAUUUGGUUGCAUCAGAAGGAAAAUGGAUCAGCACAGGCUGACCUGUGAGGGGAAGAUAAUAAGCACAAAGCUCUCUUGAGCACUGAUUUUUCUGCGUAUGAACUCUGCUAAGAGUUAGACUGUCAGGAUGAGCUAUCGGUUUAUCUGAUUUUAGCAUCAACAGAGAAAGACAAGAAUAAAGCCAGGGCUGCAGAGUCACAGUCAUAGUCUGUGCUUAUACAUAUUUUUUCAUUCGACUUCUCAGGGCAGUUCCCGAUCAAGUUUAACGACCGAUGCACCAGCGUUUGUGUAUGUAGGAAAAAACUGUAGGUAUAGAGAGCAAAAGCAGGUGGAGUGCACACCACUGCACUGAUAGUCCCUUCAUAAAGUCCCACUCCGAUUGUUUUUUCUUUUUACUACUUAAAGCAGGGGUGUCAAAGUCAAAUGGACGGAGGGCCAAAUAAAAAAUUUAGCUACAAGCCGAGGGCCGGACUGAUCGAAUGUUCAUUGAAAAUUUUUUAAAUGACGCAUAUAGUCUAGUGAACCUAAUUGAACCUACUGAAAACCUAACAAAUAUAUUCCAAUAUGAUCAGCUAAAUAAAGCAAUAUUUUCUUAUGGCUCUGUCAGUAAUCUUUAAUUUUCAACAGACACAAAAGACAAAUUUCCUUUAUAUAAAAAUCCCCAUAACAUGAACAUUAAAUGAAAGAAACCGGUAUUAUUCAAGGCACCAUCAGUAGCCUAUAUUUUCUAUUUUAGCAAAAGUGGGCUAAAUUUACUUCAAAGAAAAAAAUAAUAAUAGCAAUUUUCUAUCAUCCACUCAACUGAAAUAUUUUUAAAAUAUAAUUGGAUUGAAAUACAAUAAAAUAAAGUGCAAAAAUCUAUUAAUCAAAAACAACACUUUCUUCAAGGAGAAGUAACAUGCAGUGAAAACAAAUAUUAAACUUUAACUUUUAAACUUGAAAUGAGUAAAAACUCUAAAUAUGUGAUUGCACAGUAAUGUUCACUUGUUUGAGGUUGAGGGUGAUACUUGGUGGUGUCCCAUCAUUUCCACAAGUUCAUCAAUGUUCGGGGUAAGGCUCUGAGCUGAGGAAAUCCUCAGAAUUGAGUGAAGGUGUUCAGCAGUAAGUCGACUUCUGUGUGAUGUUUUGUUCAGGUUCAUCAAAGAAAACAGUUGUUCACACAGGUAUGUGCUGCCAAACAUAGACAACGUUUGAGCAGCCUGGAUGAGCCUACUGCUCGGUGCGUCACCGUUGCAUUGUGGGAAAUGUAGUAUUGGUGCGUGUAAAAGAUCUGCGGGCUGCCGGCUUGCUGCGGUCUGCGGGCCGGUUCUAAUAAUAAAUCAAGAUCAUCCCAGGGGCCGUAAAAAACCUUCUCGCGGGCCAGAUGUGGCCCGCGGGCCUUGACUCUGACAUAUGUGACUUAAAGUGUUCUCAACGGUCCUCUAACUGUUUUUAGCAAAAAUCAUGUUACCUGUGUCGUUUUCAAUAGCUUUUCUGCUGCAGAGCUCUAGUAGCUCAUUAGCAAUUCACCUCUGAGUCGUAGGUGGAGACAGCGCUGCUCUGCACACUUCUCCACGAGUUAGCCUGCAGCCUAACGUUGCCGGUGUAGUAGAAGUAGCAGGUAACAUAGGAGCCAUUCAGCUCUCGGACACGAUUGUCUUUUGAGACAUGAUGAAAGCUUAUAUCAUAAUUAGCUUUUUUACAAGCAUUGCAAUCCGCUAAUGCGAGCCGAUUAAAUCGGCCGAUUUUAGCCCGUUUGUGACUAAUCGGUAUUCGGCCAAAACUCGCAGAUAUUUUCAGAAAUAAAAUGCGGAGAAUAAGAUUCAGUUCAUUUCGAAAAUGUUCCACCAUUUGAAGAGUUCUCCGACUUAUCCUGUAGAUGGCGCAACGACCUCAUGACAAUCUUCAUCCACUAACUACCUCACAGCACAGCAGAGUGAGGCAUCUGAAGAAGGCAGCUCAGGAAUGCCAAAGGAGGAGAGUGGUCCGCCUCAACGGUAAAUAAACCAGUUUGUGAAAUACACAAUAAGUCAACAAGUUUCAGUUCAACCCACUUCACGAUGUUCCCCGCUGUGCUGGUCUCGGUCACGCCGAGUGAACAGUGAAGCACCAUGUAAUAUGCAAGCUAAAGUUAGAGUUAGCCACCUGCUAUUAGCCUUGCUACACUGGUAGAAUACAACGGUAGAAUAAACAACAGAACACAUUACGUGAUCAAGCUGCUUCUCUUACUGAGGCAGCUGCACGUCUCCGGACGAGAAAUGUGUAAUAUUAGUUCAGUUAAGUUGAAAAUGCUUUUCUGGUCCAAGUUUGAUCAGUCGGUCUUCCUGUCGGUGUAAAGAGCAGGAGCCUAGAGUAUAUCUACAGUAUAUACUGUAGAUAUCUACAGAUAUACAGUAUAUAUAUAUCUUUUUUAUAACUGAAUAAAAUUUAAAAACAUCGGCCGAUUAAUCGGUAAUCUGAUUUUUUCCCCCCCUAAUAAUCGGUUUCGGCAUCUGCCCUAAAAAAUACAAUAAUAACUCGUCAAACAUGUCAGGUAGUAUGAGUCUAUGAUCACUUUUCCUACAUACCUAAAAAGCCCUUUAGUAUUGUGAUAGCUUGAGCUCCUUGCGUUGUAAACUUUGCAAAUCUCCUGCUCCACUUUUCCCCCCUUCUCCAAUGUGUUACUACUCUGAAG
Molecule: long non-coding RNA, 4205 nt
Filed under: Xyrichtys novacula (pearly razorfish)
Lineage: Eukaryota; Metazoa; Chordata; Actinopteri; Labriformes; Labridae
Source: RNAcentral